This 425-nucleotide ribosomal RNA is filed under the name uncultured bacterium. RNAcentral's name for it is "partial 16S ribosomal RNA". It matches the Rfam family "Bacterial small subunit ribosomal RNA", at positions 354 to 796 of the family's 1533-position model. The record is from RNAcentral.
GUGGGGAAUCUUAGACAAUGGGGGAAACCCUGAUCUAGCCAUGCCGCGUGAGCGAUGAAGGCCUUAGGGUUGUAAAGCUCUUUCAGCUGGGAAGAUAAUGACGGUACCAGCAGAAGAAACCCCGGCUAACUCCGUGCCAGCAGCCGCGGUAAUACGGAGGGGGCUAGCGUUGUUCGGAAUUACUGGGCGUAAAGCGCGCGUAGGCGGACCAGAAAGUUGGAGGUGAAAUCCCAGGGCUCAACCUUGGAACUGCCUUCAAAACUCCUGGUCUGGGGUUCGAGAGAGGUGAGUGGAAUUCCGAGUGUAGAGGUGAAAUUCGUAGAUAUUCGGGGGAACACCAGUGGCGAAGGCGGCUCACUGGCUCGAUACUGACGCUGAGGUGCGAAAGCGUGGGGAGCAAACAGGAUUAGAAACCCGGGUAGUCC